RNAcentral lists this non-coding RNA (23 nucleotides) under Mus musculus (house mouse). Lineage: Eukaryota; Metazoa; Chordata; Mammalia; Rodentia; Muridae. The record is from RNAcentral.
UUUAAUCCCAGAUGACCUUGACC